UACGUAGGGAGCAAGCGUUGUCCGGAAUUACUGGGCGUAAAGGGUGCGUAGGCGGCCAAGCAAGUCAGAUGUGAAAGACCGGGGCUCAACUCCGGGAUUGCAUUUGAAACUGCGUGGCUUGAGUGCAGGAGAGGCAAGUGGAAUUCCUAGUGUAGCGGUGAAAUGCGUAGAUAUUAGGAGGAACACCAGUGGCGAAGGCGACUUGCUGGACUGUAACUGACGCUGAGGCACGAAAGCGUGGGGAGCAAACAGG
Molecule: ribosomal RNA, 253 nt
Filed under: uncultured bacterium
Lineage: Bacteria
Description: partial 16S ribosomal RNA
Rfam family: Bacterial small subunit ribosomal RNA
Source: RNAcentral